RNAcentral lists this ribosomal RNA (112 nucleotides) under Candidatus Avitreponema avistercoris. The record is from RNAcentral. Lineage: Bacteria; Pseudomonadati; Spirochaetota; Spirochaetia; Spirochaetales.
CCCGGUGGCCAUAGCGGAGAGGCAAUACCCGUUCCCAUCCCGAACACGGAAGUCAAGCUCUCUUGCGCCGAUGAUACUGCCGAUCAGGCGGGAAAGUAGGUAGCCGCCGGGC